UUGGAGGGCAAGUCUGGUGCCAGCAGCCGCGGUAAUUCCAGCUCCAAUAGCGUAUAUUAAAGUUGUUGCAGUUAAAAAGCUCGUAGUUGAAUUUCGGGGUUUAUCCGUUGGUCGGGCUUUUGGGUCUGCACUGGCGUGAUGAAUUCCUACCUUCUGAAUAACCAGCAUGUCAUUAAUUUGGUGCGCCGGGGAAGCAGGACUGUUACCUUGAAAAAAUUAGAGUGCUUAAAGCAGGCUAUUGCCUGAAUACAUUAGCAUGGAAUAAUGAAAUAGGACGGCAUGGUUCUAUUUUGUUGGUUUCUAGGAUCACCGUAAUGAUUAAUAGGGAUAGUUGGGGGCAUUAGUAUUCAAUUGUCAGAGGUGAAAUUCUUGGAUUUAUUGAAGACUAACUUCUGCGAAAGCAUUUGCCAAGGAUGUUUUCAUUAAUCAAGAACGAAAGUUAGGGGAUCGAAGACGAUCAGAUACCGUCGUAGUCUUAACCAUAAACUAUGCCGACUAGGGAUCGGACGAUGUUAAUUUUUUAAUGACUCGUUCGGCGCCUUACGGGAAAC
RNAcentral lists this ribosomal RNA (551 nucleotides) under uncultured Glomeromycotina. RNAcentral's name for it is "SSU rRNA". It matches the Rfam family "Eukaryotic small subunit ribosomal RNA", at positions 548 to 1098 of the family's 1831-position model. Lineage: Eukaryota; Fungi; Glomeromycota. The record is from RNAcentral.